This is a non-coding RNA of Pimephales promelas (fathead minnow), 561 nucleotides long. The record is from RefSeq and is a predicted model, not a curated record. NCBI's taxonomy places the organism in Eukaryota, Metazoa, Chordata, Actinopteri, Cypriniformes, Leuciscidae.
GUGGAAUAUCAGGAUAAAAACACCUACAGCUGUGUGCUGAACAAUCCCAUCAGCAACCAGACCACACAUCUGGACAUCAACACACUCUGCAGACACACAUGUGCAGUGUCUCUGAUAGUGUUGAUCUCUGCUGCUGCUGCUUCCGGAUCUCUGUUGAUUAUAGUUACAGUCGUGAUCUGCUGCAUCUGCAGGAAACGUAAAAUAAUAGUUCAAACCCAGGCGAAAGACAUGAAGGAUUCUGCAUUAUGUAAACCAACAAGACGGAAAAAGAAAUCAAAGGAGCCCAUUUAUGGAAAUAUACACCAAAAAUGUUAAUCAAAUACAACAUCUCAGCCUCAUCUAAUGUUUUUUUUUCUUUUGCACCUGCCCUCUCAUAAGCACUAUUGUUAUGGUUUAAUUUAGUGGUGCAAAAAAGGCAGAAACUUAACUAAAUCUUCUAUUUUUAGCUUAAGGACUUUGGCUUAACACAUGGAGACUUUAUAACAUUUUGAUCUUACUCUUUUACUGGUAUGGAUCACCUGGUCUACUCUUGCUUUAAUAAAUAGAAAACUUAAUAUGGAA